GGUGGGUUUCCCGAGCGGUCAAAGGGGCCAGACUGUAAAUCUGGUGGCUUAGCCUUCGCAGGUUCGAAUCCUGCACCCACCA
RNAcentral lists this transfer RNA (82 nucleotides) under Planctomycetaceae bacterium. Its description in RNAcentral is "tRNA-Tyr". It matches the Rfam family "tRNA". Rfam says of the family: Transfer RNA (tRNA) molecules are approximately 80 nucleotides in length. Their secondary structure includes four short double-helical elements and three loops (D, anti-codon, and T loops). The record is from RNAcentral. Lineage: Bacteria; Pseudomonadati; Planctomycetota; Planctomycetia; Planctomycetales; Planctomycetaceae.